AAGAAAGUGGCAGAAGGGGGAAUGUGCUUGGCUUGAAACCAAACCAUGGGGGUUCGAUUCCCCCCUUUCUUG
RNAcentral lists this transfer RNA (72 nucleotides) under Pristimantis fenestratus (Rio Mamore robber frog). Its description in RNAcentral is "tRNA-Ser". It matches the Rfam family "tRNA". From Rfam's summary of the family: Transfer RNA (tRNA) molecules are approximately 80 nucleotides in length. The record is from RNAcentral. Lineage: Eukaryota; Metazoa; Chordata; Amphibia; Anura; Strabomantidae.